AACUCGCGUUAAGGAUUGAAGUAAUUGUUUGAGCUCUUUUUUCUUUUUCAAGAAAAAAAGCGAGUGCGUAAAGCCUGACCUUUA
RNAcentral lists this unclassified non-coding RNA (84 nucleotides) under Polaribacter sp. KT25b. Its description in RNAcentral is "Flavo-1 RNA". The record is from RNAcentral. Lineage: Bacteria; Pseudomonadati; Bacteroidota; Flavobacteriia; Flavobacteriales; Flavobacteriaceae.